GGUGGAUGCUGUAGUACCAUAUGUGCAGCUUCCUCAUCCAGCACACAGACGGGCCAGGCAGCCCCAGAGCAGCACUGUGCCACCACCCCAGGGCUGUGACAGCAGGCUGUCACCCAUCAGAGGUCCCCAGGCUGUCACCCAUCAGAGGUCCCCAGGAGCAUCGAGCCUCCUCCAUGGCCAGAAGUGGCACUGGGGCUGAGUGGGCCAAAGUCACACAGUGGAACAGCACCUGAACUCUAUGUGCAGUGGAAUGGAAACUCUCCCCUGUGUUUUGGGGGGUCUGUGCUCGCCAGAAAUUACCAAGAGGGCACUCUAAGCUUGAAGAGCCUGUAAAAUUUUGUGUUCUUCUGGUUUUACAAACUCUGGCAGCUCAAGCAGACCCUGCGACUGCCACUCCUCCCCUGGGUCACCCACAGGCCUCCUGGAGGGCCCGCAGCUCCCCAGCCACCAGCCCUGCUCCAGAAUCAGCUGCACGAGUACCAGAGGGACCCCAGUGCCACACGGCAGUGCCAGAUCACUACCACCACAAGCUGUCCCCAGGCAGCAAAGCCCUCAGCCAGCCCAGCUGGCCCAGGGCCGUGCCAGCCGCUCAGGGCACCCUGCCCAAGAGCAGAGGCCUGAGGGGCCCUGGGCCGUGGGGCGGUGGGAUGCACGGCGCUCCGCCAGGAGACUCAGAUCCAGCCCCGAAAUCCCUGAGGGAGAGGAUGCGAAGGGCAGCAAGCGACCUCUGCUGAGGAGGGACCGGAGCGGCACCGGCAGGGGACAGGCCAGCCAGGACCCCCGCAAAAGGCGCUCCUGCCCAGGCACCGGGGGCAGAUUGAGCACUGCCCGGCUCGGAGCCCACGGCAGGGCUGUGCCAGCCGGGGACACCCCGAGGCAGAGCCGGGCACGGGUCCCCGGCAGGCCGGGAGCCACGCUGCCUGCCCCCGGUCCCUCCUGAGCCGCGCUGACAGGGCUGGGAUCUGUCCCCAGGCAGCACACCGGGCACAUCGCUGUCCUCACGGACCGCGCCGAGCCCCGGCCCGGCCGAGCAGCUGGUGCCCUGUCAGGGGCUGUGCCUGGGGCCAAGUGUCGCUCCAGAGCCGUCCCUUCGCUGUGACACGCUGCUGGUUCAAAGGAACCUUUAUCUGUCGGGUCCCCUUGGGGCUGCUCCCCUUCUGACGCCAGCCACCCUUGCACGGUGCCAGGCGGCUCUCCCAGACCAUUCCCAGCACUAAAAAGGUAUAACUGGGAGAUGCUGCAGUUACCAGGGGCUCCAGACACGCCACAGCCACAUCUACGCCAAAAAAAAAAAAAAAAAAAAAAAAAAAAAAAAAAAAAAAAAAAAAAAAAUCCCAAAGAAAACCCCCACACCGCAAGAACCCCAAAGCGCUGAGAUUCAGCCCUUGUGAGUAUAUAAACACACAGAAAACUUGUCAAGCAGAGCAGCUGCAGCCCCUGGGAUGGGAUCUGGGCUCUCCAUGUAACUUCACACACAGGCUGAGCCUCCAAGGGAGCUGCACAUUCACCCUCCUCCGGCCCUGGGGAAGGGGCGGCAGCGGGAUGACCCCGGCGGUGGAGGGGGGCUGCCCCCAAAUCCCCCGGCCCCGGUCCCCCUCUUUCCCCCAUCUCCCAGCCCAGCCGGGCAGAGGGAUCCUGUACACAACUUUUUCAAACUGCCAGGCAGAAGAAUCCCAGCCUUUCCAAGGGAGUGUCGGUAAAUCAUCAGUACAUCCGACAACGCAGCCAGCGGGAUUAACCCUUUGCGGGAUCCCGGGAAAAUAACAACAACAACAACAAAACCACCACCAACAACGCGCUUAACAACGAAAACAGCAAAAUUUGGCCCCAGCUGUGGGAGAAGGGGGACGGGCAGCGUGUGCGCCGGGAUCCUUUCACACACGGGCGGAGAGGGAGCAGCGUUUUGUGUGUGCCGAGCACAUGAAGAGGAGCUGCCGCCGCGCACCUCCGCCGUGCCCAUCCCUCGGGGCUCCCCCACCUCAAGAAGCACGACCCAGAUGUGCCUCCCACCCCCCAAGGAUCUCUCCUCUGGACUUAGAGAGAAGAGGAAAAGGCAGAUUUUGAGAAAUGAAAAUUAUUUAAGGAUGUCCUUACUGCCUCUCUCUGCUGCCCUCCUCUGUAAUAGCGAAGCAUUUACGAGAAAUUAUACAAAAUAAAUAAAUAAUUUGG
Long non-coding RNA from Passer domesticus (house sparrow), 2169 nucleotides. RefSeq lists it as uncharacterized. The record is from RefSeq and is a predicted model, not a curated record. Lineage: Eukaryota; Metazoa; Chordata; Aves; Passeriformes; Passeridae. The transcript is spliced from 2 exons.